RNAcentral lists this long non-coding RNA (1002 nucleotides) under Ricinus communis (castor bean). RNAcentral's name for it is "long non-coding RNA (RCOM_LNC003654)". The record is from RNAcentral. Lineage: Eukaryota; Viridiplantae; Streptophyta; Magnoliopsida; Malpighiales; Euphorbiaceae.
UCGGAUCGUCGAUCGGACUCCGGCGGCUGGAGGCGAGUCAACCGAGCGAUCGAGCGUCUCGGUAAUUUUCUUUGGCCUGUUAAUUUUAGAAAUUCUUGGUUUAAUUGUGUCUAUUGGAUUAUAUUGUGUAUUUGAUGGUAUUUGUGGGUCAAAAAUAAUUGUCUGUCAGUUGCCUGCCCUGUGUUUUGUGCUGUGUGGCGGAGUUGGGAAAUAGUGAAGUUUGGGGACCCAACUCCCGUUGUUUUAAUUGUAAGUAUUUGGAGUGUUUUUCUGGCAGGUCCUGGACCCGUUUUUACGGGGGGUAAUGUUCGUGUUGUAGGGGAGGUUCUGCCAGAUUUUCGGUAGAAUUCUCCCGAGUCGAGAUUCUUAGACAGUCAAUCCUAGGAAUCUAGACCUAGGAUCUAUUGUAAUUGUUUCAUCGUUUUGAUAAAUUAUUUUCCGUGAUUAGAUGAUUUGUCUGUUCGGCUCGCUCCAACCGAGGCACCGGAGCUGAGCUAGGAGGUCGCCAAACCUGUGAGUUAAAGUCAUAUAUCGUUUACGCACGUGUCAUGCAUAAAAUUUGAUUUGCUAGUGUGAAUAUUUAUUUGCAAUUUUAAUUUUUCAUUCAAUUAUUAUUAUUAUCAUUUGCAUGAUGCUUUUAAUUACUAUUUAAAUAUGUUUUUCCUUUAUUACCAAUUUUAAUAUUGCAUGAUGACUCAGGAUGGGACGGCAGUAGAACAUAGGAGUUGGAUGAGUGUCCAAUAUAAUAUGAGAGAGAUAGGAAAAGGGUAAAAAGGUAAAAAUUUUAAGAAAGAAAGAUUAGGACCUGCCCUGGUCGAGCAUCGUCUCUGGGCUUAGUAGAGUGUGGUUGCCGGAGUAAAGGUCCCUGGUCGAGCAUUGCUCUCGGGGCGCCAGCUUAUUUGGAUAUUUAAGUGACCAGACUAGAGGUAAGGUCCCUGGUCGAGCUUUGCUCUCGGGGCGCCAGUCUUAUUGGAUUAAGAGAGUCGAAUGGCUAUUAGAUUU